UACGGGAGGCAGCAGUGGGGAAUAUUGCACAAUGGGCGCAAGCCUGAUGCAGCCAUGCCGCGUGUAUGAAGAAGGCCUUCGGGUUGUAAAGUACUUUCAGUCGUGAGGAAGGUGUUAAGGUUAAUAACCUUAGCAAUUGACGUUAGCGACAGAAGAAGCACCGGCUAACUCCGUGCCAGCAGCCGCGGUAAUACGGAGGGUGCGAGCGUUAAUUGGAAUUACUGGGCGUAAAGGGCACGCAGGCGGUUAAUUAAGUUGGAUGUGAAAUCCCCGGGCUUAACCUGGGAAUGGCAUUCAAGACUGGUUAGCUAGAGUCUUGUAGAGGGGGUAGAAUUCCAUGUGUAGCGGUGAAAUGCGUAGAGAUGUGGAGGAAUACCGGUGGCGAAGGCGGCCCCUGGACAAAGACUGACGCUCAUGUGCGAAAGCGUGGGGAGCAAACAGGGAUUAGAUACC
This 453-nucleotide ribosomal RNA is filed under the name uncultured bacterium. Its description in RNAcentral is "bacterial SSU rRNA". It matches the Rfam family "Bacterial small subunit ribosomal RNA", at positions 340 to 786 of the family's 1533-position model. The record is from RNAcentral.